CUAAUAUUUAUCCACAUAUAACAAACACAAAUAAUGAUUAUAUGGAUAAAACACUUAAUAGUAAUAUUGAUAAUAACUGUAACACUAGAAAUGUGGACAGUUACGUUAAUACAAAUUGUUUAUAUAUAAAUGGCUCUGAUGAUAAAAACGAUUAUUACUUUUGUAAAAGUAGAUCCAGUUCAAAUGGUACGAGUAGCUUUAUUUUUUCUACUCCAGGUAUGGAUAAAGCAAGUAGUGGUUGUGGUUGUAGUGGUACUGUCGGAUGUAGUGGUACUGUCGGAUGUAGUGGUACGAACAAAACUAAAAAAGGUAGAGAAAAUUAUAAUGUGAAAUGUAACAAUUAUAAAAACAAUAUUGAUAAAAAUAAAUUAAGUAAUACAACAUGUAAUUUAAAAAAAGGUAUAAAAAAAAGAUAUUGUAAGAAGUAUGUAAAAAAAAGAAAUACUUUAAGUAAUAAUAAAAAAGAAGAAAAAAAAAAGAAAAAAAAAAAAAUAAUUCUUCACAAUAUAUCGAAAAAUAUAAAUAACGUUGAUAAGGAACCAUAUAUUUAUACAAUGAAUUAUAAAAUUGGGUUAAGUAAAAAUAUAAAGUUUAACAAAGAAGGGGUAAUAAGUACUCAAAAUUAUAAUUUUGAUAAUAUUAAUAGUAACAUGGAGGAUGUACAUUCUAGUGCAUAUCUCAGUACACAAGAUACUUCAAGUGGAGGAAACGAACAAUACGAACCCUAUACGAACAGAGACAAACCCGUAAACGAAUAUUUUAUGGAUGGAACUAAAAACAUAGAGUCAAAUUGGUAUAAUCAUAGAAAUAGUCAUGGCGGUAGUAGUAACAUUGACGAUGACAACGGUAACGAUGACAACGGUAACGAAGAUAAUGGUAACGAAGAUAAUGGUAACGAAUAUAAUGGUAACGAAUAUAAUGGUAACGAAGAUAAUGGUAAAGAAUAUAAUGGUAACGAAUAUAAUGGCAGUAAUACAAAACGUAUAAGCAUCCCAAAUGAGUAUAUAUCUAUAAGAAACAAACACAGGAUAAACAUUGAAAACAAAAAAGACGAAGAAGAAGAACAGGACGAAGAAGAAAAACAGGACGAAGAAGACGAGUGUACUAAUUUAAAUAAGAAAAAAAAAAAUAUAUUAUAUCGUUCAUAUCGUUCAUAUGGUAAUAUAAUAAGAAAUAAAAAUGAGUUUUCUUUUUUGAAUGGAAAAAAAAAAAAUAUAUCACCAAAUAUAUCACCAAAUAUAUUAUAUGAAAAUAAAAAUAACAUAUACAUAUAUGAUAAUGAAUACAAAAAGAAAUAUUCUUUUAAUAAAUUUGAGUAUAUGUUAAACGAUGGUAAAACUGAUAUUUCUAAUUCUUCAAUGAAUUAUUAUAGGAAAGUUGAUGGUACAUAUAAUAAAAUUAAUGGUAAUAAGGAGAUGUUUGGUCGUAAGCUUUGUAUAAAGGGUGAUAACACACAUAUGUAUAAAAACGAGACGGAAAUAAAUAAGUAUGGUGAUAAUUUAUUUAAUAAAAAUAAUACGGACACAAAUACGGAUACAGAUACGGACACAAAUACGGAUAAAAAUACGGACACAUAUACGGAUAAUAAUACGGACAAAUA
Molecule: long non-coding RNA, 1600 nt
Filed under: Piliocolobus tephrosceles (Ugandan red Colobus)
Lineage: Eukaryota; Metazoa; Chordata; Mammalia; Primates; Cercopithecidae
Description: lncRNA (ENSPTEG00000004617.1)
Source: RNAcentral